UUAAAAGUUUUAUACACCAAAUUGUGUUAUCAUCAAUAAAAUACAGAAAGAUAAAGACAAUAACAUAAGGUUUUACGUGAAAACCCAAAUAAUAAAAAAACUACGGAGAAAUGCAGAAGAAAUCUACUAAAUAAAAUCUGAAAAAUACAAGAUAAAGAGAGAACUAUGAGAAUUAUUAGAAUACUUCUCAAUAUUUCUUCUCCAAAAACCUAGCACCUAUAUUUAUAGGCCAUAGGAAAAUUUCAUAACCAAAUAGAAUAAGAAAUACUAAAUUGAGUUCCUAAACUAAAACGGAUUCUAAAUCCAAAUCUAAUAAGAAUUCAUGUCAUACCCAACAAUUAAUGAAAUACUUCUGAAACAAAAUUAUUCGUAUUUUAAUGAUGUGUCCUAAUAGCACUCGUGUAUACACUGUCAGUGUAUCAAAUUUAAACUUAUUUUAUUAAUUCAUGAAUAUUUUUAAUUUUUAAGGAUUUUAUUACCGGAGCUUACAUUUAGUAUACAGAUGAUUUUUUAAAAUCUAAUUCCUUUGUGGCACCAAACUACUGAUGCUCAACAAAAUUUCAGGGAAGCAUUGCUGCAAAAGAUUAAGGAUACAUACAGUGAAAUAAUUGGAAGCAACUGAAAGAAAAUCUUGAGAAGAUACCUUAGGGUGGAUCCUUUGGCUGCUGAAACAUGUAAUUUGUAGCACUGUGCAAGAAACUCUGAUCACCCGUUCUCUUGUUUGUGAAAACCUCUGAUCAGAAUAAACAGGUCACGUACUGAGUUGCCUACUAGAUAUAUAACAUGUCCUAUUAUGGUCCUAUUAUGGUUUAUUUCCAUUCUUUGCAUAGCCAUCCUAAUGCUCAUAUUCACUUAACUUUUUGUCCUCUGGAAGUUGCUUAAGCUUGUAGUAAAAUACUCUAUCUGCAUACUUAUGUUUAUGCGUGUUCAUAACAAGAAUUUUCUUUUGACGUCUUCUUGCCGUAGAGUGGAUCGUUCAUAUUUGAACACAAGACCUCAUAAAUUACAAGUCUAUAUUCAUUUUAAGAACAAAGUGACGAGGAACCAACAAUAUUGUAGACUACAUUAAUCUAAAGAGUUACUCCCUCCAUCCUCAGAAAGUCCUCAUUUGACUUUAAUUCUAGCUAGUUUGCCAAAUAAUUUAAUAUACUUAUAAGUAGUGAAAAAGUCCUCAUCUUAAUUUUAGCAAUAAUAAUUUUAUACUUGGUUAUACUUAUUAAGUAGUUGAUAAAAUCUACUACGAUAAAACUUAUAUAUAAUAGUCUCUGGAUAAAAUAGAGGUUCUUCCUAAAAUACAGUCUAAAUGUAAAAAAAUUAUUUAAAACUAGUUUGUAAAGUAUGUCUGAAUAUAAUAUUUUACUAUUUUAUCUUAAAAUCAGUUUAAUUAUACAAAUUUAGACCGAGGGUAAUAAUAUAAUAAUAGAUACUAAAUAAUUAAUUUAAAUAAAAUUACAAAAAAUAUUUUCAAUUACAAUAUGAUAAAAUAAAAUAUUUCAAGUCUACUAAAUAAUAAUAAUAAUAAUAAUAAUAAUUAUUAUUAGGGGUCGUGGGAGAUAGUCGUGCGGUAGCCUUAUGGGAUGCAAAAUGGAGUAUAUUAUUUCUACUUUUUAUUGUUUAUUUUAGUAGAUAAUAUCACAACCUCAUAUUCACCACCAUAGGUAACUUUCGUCACCCACCAUCGUCAACUAUUGCCACCAGGGCCGGUCCAAACUUUUUGGGGGGCUCAAGCCAAAUCUUAAAUUGGGGCCUUUUUUUUUAAACCAUUCAAUACUAAAUUAAAUUAAUAUCUACUCCCUUCGUCUCAUAAUAAAAGUCCUUAUUACUAUUUUGGGUAGUCCCAUGUUAAAUGUCUAUUUUUCUUUAAUAACCAAACUUUUACACAUAUUUUCCUAUUAUACCCGUAACAUUAAAUAUCUCAUACUUUUCUUAUUCUAAUUCUUUCUCCAUAUUUAAUGACAUUAUUAUGGGCAAUUUUGUCAUUUUAUUCAUCUUCUUAAUAUGCGUGAAAAGUCCACCAGGACUUUUAUCCUGGGACGGAGGGAGUAUGAUUUUUUUAAAUUAGAAUUUAAUUUUUCUUGCUUUUUUAGAUGCAAAAUUAUUGAUCAAAUUUUUAUAAUCAAUUUUCUCUAAGUAAGAUUUUAUCAAUUUUAAUUUUGAAAAAGUUCUUUUUGCAGAAGCAACUGUUACAGGAAUUGUUAAUAAAAUUCUAUAUGCG
RNAcentral lists this long non-coding RNA (2215 nucleotides) under Panax ginseng (ginseng). RNAcentral's name for it is "long non-coding RNA (PGIN_LNC007133)". Lineage: Eukaryota; Viridiplantae; Streptophyta; Magnoliopsida; Apiales; Araliaceae. The record is from RNAcentral.